UACAUGUCUCUUCUCUGAGACCAAGCUCCUUGAAGAAAUAUACUUUUGGGGCAUGGAGAGGAGUAAUGAGGAAGUAGCCUGGAAAGAUCUCCUCAUCAGUGCCUGGCCCUACCACCAUCCAACUCAGCUGUCAACAGUCCCCACUCU
This 147-nucleotide long non-coding RNA is filed under the name Monodelphis domestica (gray short-tailed opossum). RNAcentral describes it as "lncRNA (ENSMODG00000049343.1)". The record is from RNAcentral. Lineage: Eukaryota; Metazoa; Chordata; Mammalia; Didelphimorphia; Didelphidae.